UUUUAUUUGAGAGUUUGAUCCUGGCUCAGGAUGAACGCUGGCGGCGUGCCUAACACAUGCAAGUUGAGCGAUUUACUUCGGUAAAGAGCGGCGGACGGGUGAGUAACGCGUGGGUAACCUACCCUGUACACACGGAUAACAUACCGA
This 147-nucleotide ribosomal RNA is filed under the name Clostridioides difficile. Its description in RNAcentral is "partial 16S ribosomal RNA". It matches the Rfam family "Bacterial small subunit ribosomal RNA", at positions 1 to 154 of the family's 1533-position model. Lineage: Bacteria; Bacillati; Bacillota; Clostridia; Peptostreptococcales; Peptostreptococcaceae. The record is from RNAcentral.